Molecule: unclassified non-coding RNA, 187 nt
Filed under: plant metagenome
Description: partial contains small subunit ribosomal RNA and internal transcribed spacer 1
Rfam family: Eukaryotic small subunit ribosomal RNA (bases 1-46)
Source: RNAcentral
AAGUCGUAACAAGGUUUCCGUAGGUGAACCUGCGGAAGGAUCAUUACCGGGUUAAGGGGGGGAAACCCCCAACCAUCCAACCCUGACUUACUAUCCACGUUGCUUCGGGGGGCCGUCAAGGCCCCCCGGAGGUCGAAUCAAACUAUAUUUCUACAGUCGUCAGAGCGAAUGCGAAAAUAAGUAAAAA